RNAcentral lists this ribosomal RNA (497 nucleotides) under uncultured bacterium. RNAcentral's name for it is "partial 16S ribosomal RNA". It matches the Rfam family "Bacterial small subunit ribosomal RNA", at positions 28 to 507 of the family's 1533-position model. The record is from RNAcentral.
GACGAACGCUGGCGGCGUGCCUAAUACAUGCAAGUUGAGCGCUGAAGGUUGGUACUUGUACCAACUGGAUGAGCAGCGAACGGGUGAGUAACGCGUGGGGAAUCUGCCUUUGAGCGGGGGACAACAUUUGGAAACGAAUGCUAAUACCGCAUAAAAACUUUAAACACAAGUUUUAAGUUUGAAAGAUGCAAUUGCAUCACUCAAAGAUGAUCCCGCGUUGUAUUAGCUAGUUGGUGAGGUAAAGGCUCACCAAGGCGAUGAUACAUAGCCGACCUGAGAGGGGAAUCGGCCACAUUGGGACUGAGACACGGCCCAAACUCCUACGAGAGGCAGCAGUAGGGAAUCUUCGGCAAUGGACGAAAGUCUGACCGAGCAACGCCGCGUGAGUGAAGAAGGGUUUCGGAUCGUAAAACUCUGUUGGUAGAGAAGAACGUUGGUGAGAGUGGAAAGCUCAUCAAGUGACGGUAACUACCCAGAAAGGGACGGCUAACUACGUG